CCAGCAGACUGACACGGAGGAAAAGGUCCAGUUUAAUUCAAUUAAUAGAUGCCCUGUUCGGUUAAUUAGCUCACGAGCAGUCUCAUGAGGCGGUCUGAGGUAACGUUAACCGUUAAAACAUUGAGGUCCUGACUGCCACCAGUUGAGUCAAUGAUUCAGUGGAGAGACAGUCUGGGCAGCAGCAACAAGACAACUAUUACAAGUAGAGAUGGGUUUCAAGAACUGACACAACCACAUAUCAUCCAAACCAUCUCCAAGUGGAUGGCAGCAAGGAUCCAGGAUCAAGAGAUCAUUCAUCAUGAAGACUGUUCCAUAGGAAGCAGCGAAUCCUGGGUGAAAAACUAAACCUGGUU
Molecule: long non-coding RNA, 353 nt
Organism: Onychostoma macrolepis
Lineage: Eukaryota; Metazoa; Chordata; Actinopteri; Cypriniformes; Cyprinidae
Exons: 5
Source: RefSeq, a predicted model, not a curated record